AUGGCUUUGGAGCUGCGGCUGGCGCCGGCGGCGGCGGAGGAGGAGAGGCGCCUGUCCGAGGAGGACGAGCUGCUGUUCCAGGACAUCGCGAGGGAGGUGGGGCGGCUGAGCCUCCGCGAGCCCGAGGUUGAGGCCCAGGGGCGGCGCCAGGGCGACGCGGCCGCGGCGGACGGCCUCCUCCCUCUUCCGGCGGUUCCUGAGCACCCUAGGCAGCAGGGGGGCCUGUACCGGCCUCCCUUAUCCGUGACGAGGGUUCUGUCGCUCGUGGUGCAGGAGGCCGGCCCGGUGCCGCCGCCGUUCUCGCCGCCGCCGACGGGGGUACCCGGCGGCCGUAGGGUGGUCGACGAAUGGCACUUCCCGGGCGAUCAUCUCGGCCGCGGUCGCGCCCCUGCCCACCAGAACUUCCGCGCCGCGGGAUCCGUGCCGCCGCGCGCCGCCUGGCCUGGCGACGCGUACGCCCGCGCAAGGGCGUUUCCUGGGCGCGCCGCCAGCACGCAGCUGGUCGAGGACAUCGUCCUGUUUCUCGCCAAGAACGAGCAAGCGGUGCUCAACAUGCUGUUCUGGGGAGCCCCCGAGGACGCGGACGCCGUGGCGGCGGUGAUAGUCCAGCACGCCGUCCCUCUCAUCGAGAGCAGCCACGGGACGCGCCUGCUCGUUGUCGUCCUCAGCCGCUGCAACUAUAUGCUCCAGGAAGCGAUCGUCGCUAGAAUCACGCGAGACCACAAGAAGUUUUACAAGAUUUGUGCUGCGAGGUCAGGUGAGGUGGUGAGCAUGAUCAAUUCCUGCAUAUCCGAGAGAUCACUGGAGCUUCUGAGAGAUGCAAUCGUGCCAUGGGUGACUCCGUUGAUGAUGGCUCGCCUUGUAACGGAUUCGAGUAGACUCAUGGUGGUGCAUGCCUUGGUGCAGUGUGUUCCUCAUCCAUACUUUGCUGAGUUUAUUUUUGAUGCUGUUGCUACGAACUGCUUAGCACUUGCUAUUCAUCCGCAUGGAGUGUCCCUCCUGCAAAGUUGUCUGGAGCAUGUCGGAUGGACAGAAAAGGAUAAUGUUUUGUCAAAAGUCUCUUGUUGCAGCACCGAUCUUGCUCAAAAUCGUUUUGGAAACUACAUUGUUCAGUAUGUCCUGAAACAAAGAAACCCAUCGUACUUGGCAAUUAUCGCAUCCCGCUUCAGGUCUAAUUAUGUGACACUCUCAAGACAAAGAUAUAGCAGCAAUGUGGUUGAAACGUGCCUAGAAGUUUUUAUUGACAGAGAUCGAUCUAACAUUGUUCAUGAAUUGAUUCGGUAUCAUCCCUUCAGAGAUUUAGUGUCAGAUGAGUUUGCUAAUUAUGUCAUUUCCAGAGCCCUUACAACCUGCAAGGUUCCUCUUCGGGAUCGAUUGGCCACUGCUAUCCUUUCCCUUCAAAAUGUCAAUCGCCGUCACCCUCAUUGUCUGAAGAUGUUCAACACACUUUCUGAGCUUGGCUACAGAUAUUGA
RNAcentral lists this ribosomal RNA (1473 nucleotides) under Triticum aestivum (bread wheat). Its description in RNAcentral is "partial small subunit ribosomal RNA". Lineage: Eukaryota; Viridiplantae; Streptophyta; Magnoliopsida; Poales; Poaceae. The record is from RNAcentral.